AGUGGCGUGGCUACACCGUGGCCUCAAGGAGCCAGUCCUGCCCGGAUGGGGCUCGCCGGAUCGGUUUCGGUUUUCACGCACUCCCAUUUCUGUGGCCGCUGUGCAUUCGCGGUACUGUGCCCUGGCCGCCACCAGGACGUUUAUUCCUGAGCUAGAGGCCGGCGGGGAGUAACGAGGCAGAGAGGUUGAGGAAUCUGGGAAGACUGCAGAAACCUAAGGGCCGGCCUAUCCUUAGUCGUAGAGACAAGGCCCUGCGGAUCGCGCCGCCAGGCCACCCAGAGGAGGGACUCACCUGCCAGGAAAGCUAGCUGCAGCGCCUGCGCCCUAACUUCGUCCGCCUCUCUGGCACACCAGUGCCCUUAGAGACCAUAGAGGCCAACUUCCACCCGUUACCGACGGGCCCUCUGCUGCCCAGAGUGGGGAAAGUCCCUCCCCACAGUUACCCAGCCUGCCGGCGACAAGGGCCAAUUUGGAAUCCAGAGCCCCGGGCUCCCUUUCCAGGAUUGCUUUCACUUUUCUUCUCUGAGAUGAUACCUGUUUCCAUAGUUUGACCCUCACCCAAAUUUCGCACCUUCUAUGGAAUGUGGAGGGAAUCCCCAAGGUCUCCAGAGUCCCCCUUCCCCCAUCCUUUGUGAGCCUGGCUUUCGGCAGGCCUUUUUCCUUGAAAAGUCUAAAUAUUGAGAGGAAAAUCUUGUCUGGGCCCAAACCGGAGGUCAGGCUGAGGACAAAGUGAGGAGGCCUGUACCAGCCUUGUCUGCUACUGUGUGUGGGAUGUGGCAGGGAGCCCGGCGAACUUGGGUCUCUAGCCUAAGGACAUUAAGUGGCAUCAGUGGCUGCCAGGGCCAGGUGAGCUGAGGCAGCAAAGAAUCUAGUUCCACCACUAGUUCAAGAAUAUCCAGAAGGCCCAGCCCUAAAACUCUGUGUGUGUCUAAAAAGGGAGGUGGGUGGAUUAAAGCUGAGGAUAGAGAGAAGGAUUAGAGAACAAUGCGUGCUAUUUUUGCAUUGCAGGAGUGUUCUCUGCUGCUUCUGGGUCCUGACAGUCUUGAAAAGAUCCAGCUGCUGAACUGGUAAGAGGUGGACUGCUGCCUCUGCAUGUGUAGAGCACAGGAACUGACAUGGCUGCUAGGGAUCUGACUCUAGCUCUACCUCAGACUUGCUGGACACCUUGGCCAAUUCAUUUUUUUCUCUGGGCCAGGGCAUCACCCCACCUCCACAAGGAGAGGGUAAGCAUCAUCAGGCUCCCUUGAUAUCUUUGAGAUCUGACAGUUCAACUCAUUUUUUUCUAUAAUAUUCCAUGAUCUUCCACGGAAUAUUAUAGAAAAUAUAGAUGUUCCAUGACCUUCCAUGGCAUUCUAUACAUUGCCAACAAAAAUCAAUAUUGAACAUCAGACUCCCAUCCUAGUACUGAGUCUAAAUAAACGAUGAGGAGUAGGGAGCUGCUGCUGGCUCAUUAUGCAACUUUUUUCCCAUCUGGAUGGCUGGACUAUAAAAGUUUCCCUGGGGCUAUGCUUUCCUGCUUUGCAAAGUCCUGAUUCUCAUUUGUGGGCCUGAUUUGGAAGUUUAUUUUCUUUUCCAGAAUCUCCAUUAUAGACUUCCUCCCUACCUCGUGCCUCUGGUCACUGCCACUUGCUCACAUUUCACUCAGAACCUUGAUUCUUUGAAUUAGACUAAGAUUAUGAGAAGGCAGUUUGCAAACCUGGGGUCCAGGGAAACAAAGGGCCAGAGCAGUCUCAGUUGUGGAAGCAGGGAGAGAGGAGGUGUGCAAAGUAGUCAGGUGGCAGGCUUGAAAUAGUCCCAGGCACUAUUGUGCUGCUCCUGUCACAGGGGCUAGUCUUCUAUGCCUUCUGCCCAGCCACCAAACAUUCUGUCACACCAGUCAGUUUUUGGAGUGACUAGUGUGGGAGGAACAAUUCGUGAGAAAUUGAGCUAAACCCAAAAGAAAUGGGGCUUCAGGAAAAAAAAUAUUCUUUGUGAUCCUAGAGAACUCCCAGCUGAGCACCCUUCUUUAUGGUCCAGAUAUUACUGAGUCUUGGGAGGAUACUGUAUGUGUGUAUUAAAGGGGAAAAGAUGUGGGAGGGGACAACACAGCUUCUUGUUUGCAUAGCUCACUUCUCUCCAGGGACGAUGUAUGGAAAGACCAAGUGUGUGCAUAAACUUGCACCUCAAAAUGCCUCCUCAUAGAGAGAGUACUGUAAGACCCCAUUCCACAUGCUGACUGACACGUGGUCAACUUGCUUAGUCAAGACAGGCACUGGUUGUGAGGAGCUGGAAAUCUUUCUUAAGUUUGUUUACCUGCAAAAUGGAGAUAAUCCUCGUGCUGCCUAGUGUCUUGUGGCUGCGGUGAAAAGCCCAUAAGAACAGAUGUGUGGGCUGUGUGGAGGCAACUUCAUAAACUCAAGUAGACACAUCAUUACAGGGCACAUCAUUACAAUGCUCAUUUCUUUCUUCACCAAGUAUUCCAUAGUCAUUUCCUCUAUGCCAGGCCUGUUGAUAGUUAUUGGGAGAAGCAGUACAGUGUUAACCUUUUUGAGGCACCUGGGUAUGGAGUUCUGAGAGGAACUGAAAUCUACACUAGAGGUCUGGCAAAGGUGUUCUGGAGCAUUGCAGAUGAAGAGACUCCUUCUCCCCAGGGUGGCAAGGGGUAUCAGAGAAAAGUUCUAUGGAGGAUAGCUUUGACGGUUGGGUCAAGUCAGAAAAGUAGGGGAAGGAUUCCUGCCCAAGCCAAAGCCCAUCAGUGAGAGGGUAUGGUGGGUUGGGCAAGAGCUACAAUUCUGGAUGGCUGUGGCUAAGUAUUUGUGUGGUGGGGAGAGGAAGAGCUGGACAUUAGACUAGAAAGAAAGGCCUGGGGCCAAAGUGUAAAAGACCAUGACUGCCUGGGUAAAUUGAGGCUCAACUAGCUAAGUUCAUCUUUUCCAGGAAAGUGGUAUGUUGUAGUGGCUCUGCCACCAGACUGCCUGGGCUGGGAUGUGAAGCUUGCCACUUAGGAGCAGUAUGAUCUGGGCAGGUCAAUUUACCUCUCUGAGUCUCAACAUUUUUUUCUGCAAAAUGAAAAUAAUAGCACCCAUGUCAGAGAAUUGUGGUAAGAAUUGAGUAGUCCAUAUGAAGUGGCACAGAGGCUAGUACAUAAGAUGGUAUCAAUAAAUGUUAGUUACUGAUGCUGUUAUUAUUAUUGCUAUCCUUCUGAUCCAAUGUACAGAUCUUCAAAGUUAUGGAACUGCUAAUAUGACUUUGAAACCAGUUUUUGUUUUGUUUUUGGUUUUUUUUUUGAGACGGAGUCACGCUCUGUCGCCCGGACUGGAGUGCAGUGGAGCGAUCUCGGCUCACUGCAAGCUCCGCCUCCCGGGUUCACGCCAUUCUCCUGCCUCAGCCUCCCGAGUAGCUAGGACUACAGGUACCUGCCACCACACCCAGCUAAUUUUUCGUAUUAUUAGUAGAGGCGGGGUUUCACUGUGUUAGCCAGGUUGGUCUAGAUCUCCUGACCUCAUGAUCCAUCUGCCUUGGCCUCCCAAAGUGUUGGGAUUACAGGCGUGAGCCACCACACCUGGCCGAAACCAGUUUUUAAUAUAAACACACAUGAGCCUAUGAUUCCUUAUGAACAGACUCACUUUAUUGUGCAGACCCAGACUCAGUUUCCCAGGGCAGAAUAUUUUGUUCAUCUUCAUAUCCUCAGCACUCAACAGAGAGUUUGGCAGAAACUUGUUGAUGAGUAUGUAUUUACUGAACAUGAAAUGAGGCAUUUUCAGGCCUAAUAUCAAGCUUAAGUGCCAGCAUCCACCAAUGAAGUGUGAUGUUACCACUCAUUGGGCAUCUCCUUUGUGCCAGGCCCUGUGUUAAGUGACACACUCAUUACCCAGAAUGAUGGACUACACACAGCUUCUGGUCUCAAGGGCAACCAGUCUAGUGGAAGAGGAAGAAAACUCCUGAGUUUCUUACUUGGACAAGGGACUGCUGGAUGGUGUUGUCAUCCACUGAACUGAGUAAUAUAGGAACAGAAUUAGGAAAAUGUGGCCAGGUGCGGUGGCUCACGCCUGUAAUCCCAGCACUUUGGGAGGCCGAGGUGGGCGGAUCACAAGGUCAGGAGAUCAAGACCAUUCUGGCUAACACGGUGAAACCCCGUGUCUACUAAAAAUACAAAAAAUUAGCCGGGCGUGAUGGCGGGCGCCUGUAGUCCCAGCUACUUGGGAGGCUGAGGCGGGAGAAUGGCAUGAACCUGGGAGGCAGAACUUGGAGUGAUCCUUGAUCGCUCCACUGCACUCCAGCCUGGGCGACAGAGCGAGACUCCGUCUCCAAAAAAAAAAUGAUUUUGUUUAGGACAUACUGAAUUUGACUUGUCAGAAAUCCCACCUCAGGGCCUUUGCACUGGCUGCUCCCUCUGCCUACAGUGUUUGUCCUCUGAAUAUUGGCAUAGUUUGCACCUCAUUUCCUUCAGGUGGCUGCUCAAAUGUCAUUAAUAGUGACACCUUCACUGAACAGUUGAUAUAUAAAAUAGCAAUCCCCAUUUCCACCCCCUUCACUCUCCAAUUCUUUAAUAGGCCUUUUUUUCUUAUCCACAGCAUUUACCACCUCUUGGUAUAUUUUUUAUUGUUAUUUAUUUUAGAGUCAUUUUUAAAUUUUCUCUUUCUUAUCAUGAAAAUGGAAGCUCCGU
RNAcentral lists this long non-coding RNA (4645 nucleotides) under Homo sapiens (human). Its description in RNAcentral is "non-protein coding lnc-ZC3H12B-20:4". Lineage: Eukaryota; Metazoa; Chordata; Mammalia; Primates; Hominidae. The record is from RNAcentral.